AGUGAACGCUGGCGGUAGGCCUAACACAUGCAAGUCGAACGGCAGCACAGUAAGAGCUUGCUCUUACGGGUGGCGAGUGGCGGACGGGUGAGGAAUACAUCGGAAUCUACUUUUUCGUGGGGGAUAACGUAGGGAAACUUACGCUAAUACCGCAUACGACCUACGGGUGAAAGCAGGGGAUCUUCGGACCUUGCGCGAUUGAAUGAGCCGAUGUCGGAUUAGCUAGUUGGCGGGGUAAAGGCCCACCAAGGCGACGAUCCGUAGCUGGUCUGAGAGGAUGAUCAGCCACACUGGAACUGAGACACGGUCCAGACUCCUACGGGAGGCAGCAGUGGGGAAUAUUGGACAAUGGGCGCAAGCCUGAUCCAGCCAUACCGCGUGGGUGAAGAAGGCCUUCGGGUUGUAAAGCCCUUUUGUUGGGAAAGAAAAGCAUCAGGUUGAUACCCCGCUGUUCUGACGGUACCCAAAGAAUAAGCACCGGCUAACUUCGUG
Molecule: ribosomal RNA, 492 nt
Filed under: uncultured bacterium
Lineage: Bacteria
Description: partial 16S ribosomal RNA
Rfam family: Bacterial small subunit ribosomal RNA
Source: RNAcentral